CCGACAAUUUCACAUUAAUAGAAAAUUUACAAACAUCUGGUAAAUCAUUGAUUCGACAAUUUCAAUCUACUUCUAAUUAAGAGAAUUUAAAAAUAUAUAUAUUCAAUUACACAUUGUGAACUUUUAGCUGGCAGAAUUACUAUGAUUACACAUUGCGUAGCACUAAAUGUGCAAGCCACAAGUAUUGACAACUCAUAUCUGCUUCAAUUGAACAAAUCCGAACUGCAAAUUCCAGGACCAACAUCUUUAUGGAAGACUAUUUGGGCGCCUGUAUUGCCAAUUGCUAAUCCCUCACAAUAUCCUCUUUACAUUUACAUCCAAAGGAGAAAUAUGGGGAUUUUGCGGCGUCAUUCUGGAUACUUCCGAAGUAUCAGUAGUUCUAACUGAUGAGCUCUUUCCAACAGGCAUCCCUUUCUUCAUCUGGCACACCCUCUCAUUGUCUGUAUCAAUUUAUACAAAAUUUUCAUUAUACAGCAAACAAUUCUAAGUUCACAUAUUCAGAAUUCUUGUAACAUAUGCUCAAAUACGAAAACCAACGCAUCUGAAUAAGUAAAAACUAAUUGUACCGUUAAUUUCGAGGCCGAUGAUUACGACAUCCGCCACUGUGUUGCAGAACGCCCUCCUCCUGUACCAAGAAUUAAUCCUUCAGUCACAUUAUGCAAGUUUAUAGAAUAUAUACAUAUAGAGAGAGACUUACAGUUUCUGGUAAAUCAUUGAUUCGAUGUAAAUUGACCUGAUCCAUGAUCUCCACGGAAAAGUAGUCUUUGUAUUUGACUCUCUUCUGAUUUAAGAAGAGAAGGAUGCUUUGAUUUUCCUCCAUUUUUUUGUUUUUCUCAAGAAGAAAGCCAAACAGAAGAAACCCUAACUAGCUUGGAAGAGCCGUUUUUCUCUAUGAGAGGUACUGCG
Molecule: long non-coding RNA, 906 nt
Filed under: Prunus persica (peach)
Lineage: Eukaryota; Viridiplantae; Streptophyta; Magnoliopsida; Rosales; Rosaceae
Description: long non-coding RNA (PPER_LNC001786)
Source: RNAcentral